CCUACGGGGGACAGCAGUGAGGAAUAUUGGUCAAUGGACGAGAGUCUGAACCAGCCAAGUAGCGUGAAGGAUGACUGCCCUAUGGGUUGUAAACUUCUUUUAUAUGGGAAUAAAAUGUUCCACGUGUGGGAUUUUGUAUGUACCAUAUGAAUAAGGAUCGGCUAACUCCGUGCCAGCAGCCGCGGUAAUACGGAGGAUCCGAGCGUUAUUCGGAUUUAUUGGGUUUAAAGGGAGCGUAGGUGGAUUGUUAAGUCAGUUGUGAAAGUUUGCGGCUCAACCGUAAAAUUGCAGUUGAAACUGGCAGUCUUGAGUACAGUAGAGGUGGGCGGAAUUCGUGGUGUAGCGGUGAAAUGCUUAGAUAUCACGAAGAACUCCGAUUGCGAAGGCAGUUCACUGGACUGCAACUGACACUGAGGCUCGAAAGUGUGGGUAUCAAACAGGAUUAGAUACCCUUGUAGUC
RNAcentral lists this ribosomal RNA (460 nucleotides) under uncultured bacterium. RNAcentral describes it as "partial 16S ribosomal RNA". It matches the Rfam family "Bacterial small subunit ribosomal RNA", at positions 338 to 795 of the family's 1533-position model. The record is from RNAcentral.